RNAcentral lists this ribosomal RNA (333 nucleotides) under uncultured bacterium. Its description in RNAcentral is "partial 16S ribosomal RNA". It matches the Rfam family "Bacterial small subunit ribosomal RNA", at positions 338 to 668 of the family's 1533-position model. The record is from RNAcentral.
CCUACGGGAGGCAGCAGUGAGGAAUAUUGGUCAAUGGACGGAAGUCUGAACCAGCCAUGCCGCGUGCAGGAAGACGGCUCUAUGAGUUGUAAACUGCUUUUGUAGAAGGGUAAACCUGAAGAAGUGUAUGCAGGUGAAAGUACGGUAAGAAUAAGGAACGGCUAACUCCGUGCCAGCAGCCGCGGUAAUACGGAGGAUACAAGCGUUAUCCGGAUUUAUUGGGGUUCAAGGGUGCGUAGGCGGCUUGCUAAGUUAGAGGGGAAAUGUCCGAGCUUAACUCGGGAACUGCCUCUCAUACUGUUGAUCUUGUGCGUAGGUGCGGUAGGCGGAAUG